GUAGUCAUAUGCUUGUCUCAAAGAUUAAGCCAUGCAUGUCUAAGUAUAAAUACUACACAGUAAAACUGCGAAUGGCUCAUUAAAACAGUUAUAGUUUAUUUGAUACAUUAAAUGGAUAACUGUAGAAAAACUAGAGCUAAUACAUGCCAAGACCGUAAGGUUGUAUUUAUUAGAUAUACCAAGAUGGUGAAUCAUAAUAACUUAGCAAAUCGAAACUACGUUUCGAUAAAUCAUUUAAGUUUCUGACCUAUCAUGCUCUGAUGGUAGUGUAUUGGACUACCAUGGCAGUCACGGGUAACGGAGAAUUAGGGUUCGAUUCCGGAGAAGGAGCCUGAGAAACGGCUACUACGUCUACGGAUGGCAGCAGGCGCGUAAAUUACCCAAUCCUAAAUCAGGGAGGUAGUGACAAGAUAUAACAACGCGACUUCAAAUCGCGAUUGUAGUGAGGGUAUUCUAAAAAUAGCUUCGAGUACGAUUGGAGGGCAAGUCUGGUGCCAGCAGCCGCGGUAAUUCCAGCUCCAAUAGCGUAUAUUAAAGUUGUUGCAGUUAAAAAGCUCGUAGUUGGAUUUCAAGAGUCGCAUCUGGUAUAGCCAGUUUGCUCUCUACGGUCCUCUGGACUGUUACUGUGAGAAAAUUAGAGUGUUUAAAGCAGGCAAUUGCAGGAAUAUAUUAGCAUGGAAUAACGAAUGUAUCUACAAUUUGGUUAAUUGUAGGUUUCAAUUAAUAGGGACAGUUGGGGGCAUUGGUAUUUAAUUGUCAGAGGUGAAAUUCUUGGAUUAGUUAAAGACUAACGUAUGCGAAAGCAUUUGCCAAGGAUGUUUUCAUUAAUCAAGAACGAAAGUCGGGGGAUCAAAGGCGAUCAGAUACCGUCGUAGUCCCGCACUAUAAACUAUGCCGACUAGGGAUUGGAGUGAUAAAGAAUCACUUCAGUACCUUAUGAGAAAUCAAAGUCUUUGGGUUCUGGGGGGAGUAUGGUCGCAAGACUGAAACUUAAAGGAAUUGACGGAAG
This 1009-nucleotide ribosomal RNA is filed under the name uncultured ciliate. Its description in RNAcentral is "SSU rRNA". It matches the Rfam family "Eukaryotic small subunit ribosomal RNA", at positions 20 to 1162 of the family's 1831-position model. Lineage: Eukaryota; Ciliophora. The record is from RNAcentral.